UACGAAGGGGGCUAGCGUUGCUCGGAAUCACUGGGCGUAAAGGGCGCGUAGGCGGCCGAUCAAGUCAGAGGUGAAAGCCCAAGGCUCAACCUUGGAAUUGCCUUUGAUACUGUUUGGCUAGAGACCGGAAGAGGUUAGUGGAACUGCGAGUGUAGAGGUGAAAUUCGUAGAUAUUCGCAAGAACACCAGUGGCGAAGGCGGCUAACUGGUCCGGUUCUGACGCUGAGACGCGAAAGCGUGGGGAGCAAACAGG
RNAcentral lists this ribosomal RNA (253 nucleotides) under uncultured bacterium. RNAcentral's name for it is "partial 16S ribosomal RNA". It matches the Rfam family "Bacterial small subunit ribosomal RNA", at positions 524 to 776 of the family's 1533-position model. The record is from RNAcentral.